Molecule: long non-coding RNA, 3857 nt
Organism: Pseudopipra pipra
Lineage: Eukaryota; Metazoa; Chordata; Aves; Passeriformes; Pipridae
Exons: 7
Source: RefSeq, a predicted model, not a curated record
GGAAUAUUUUUAAUGCUUCCUCUUUUGCUCAUUGUAAAGCUGGUGAGAGACUAAAUCUUUGCUGGAUGAUUUCACAACUCAGCAUGACCAUCAUUUAGGAAGGCAGAGAAAACGCUUUUGCUUUUUUUUCUUUUUUUUUUUUUUUAAUGUUAUAGGCAAAGAUCCAAGAAAGUGAAGGGAUCUCAAGUGACUAAGUACAAGGGGCGACCACCAGCUGAUAAUUAAAAUUUUGAAUGACACCCUGAGGGAAUGGUGUACAAGAACAGCAGCGUUUAAUUCCUUACAUUGGAAAGAAAACUAAGACCAAGUUUCCGACUCUUUGUUGAAGAAAUGGUGAAAAUGUCAAAAAAUUGACUGCUUUUAUGACCCACAACAUGAAAAUCCCUCUGCCUCUCUCUAAGACACUUAGUGGAAUUUGAACAAAAUUCAAGGGGAAGAACAUGAAGAACAACCUUUAUGAACCUUUAAAAGGCUGAAUCGCUAAAAUAGACUAUUAUAUGGUGGAGAAAAGGAUAGAAGAAGAAGAUUCCUGUGUGACAUACCGCUUAGAUGGGACUGAAGUGUACCUCGACUCAGGAGCACAGAUCUUCCAGGUCUCCCAUGAAACGAUUUCUGAUUUCUUCCUUGCCCUCCUGUAGAGAUGCAUGUUUCCUUCCCUUUCCUUGAAACUGAAUCAAAUAUGUCAUUGUCACUCCUGAUGUCUGUAAAUUUGCUCUCCACAGAUCUAAAAGGGAAAGGAGUUGGACUCGAUGAUCCUAGUGGGUCCCUUCCAACUCUAUGAUUCUGUGAUUUAAUAAUAGUCAGUUGAUGUCCACCGGAUGAACAUAUAGUAAGCUGUAUCUUGGAGAAAAAAUAAUGGAAAAGAAUAAAGUAAAACAGAGAUAAUUUGAUCUUUUAUCAAGAAUGGGAGCUUGGAACUUCCCCUGGGGGUUGUUACUCUCUUGCUGGAGACCAUUACACAGGAACAUGAAAGUCUCUCCAUAGGGAAUUAUUUUGGCUGCCUUCAGCUACUGGAAGGCUGCUGUAAAGUCUCCCCACAGUCUUCUCUUCUCCAGGCUGAACAACUCCAACUCUCUCGGCCUGUCUUCAUAGGAGAGGUACUCCAGUCCUCGGAACAUCUUUGUGCCACUCACAUCUGGAACCACUCUAGCAAGUCUAUAUCUUUCUUGUGCUGAGAACCCCAGAGCUGGGCACAGUACUACAGGUGGGGUCUUAUGAGUGCAGAGUAGAGGGGCAAAAUCACCUCCCUCAACCUGCUGCUCACACCUCUUUUGAUGCAGUCCAGGAUGCUGUUAGCUUUCUGGGCUGUAAGUGCACACACUGUUGGCUUAUGUCCAGCUUUUAUCCAAUAGAACGCCCAAGUCCUUCCCUGCAGGGCUGGUCGCAAUGAGUUCUUGUCGCAGACUGUACUUUUGUUUGAGAUUGCCCCGACCCAGGUGCAGCACCUUGCACUCAGACUUGUUGAACCUCAUGAGAUCUCCAUGGGCUCACUUCAUGAACUUGCCCAGGUCCCACUGGAUGGCAUCCUGUCCUUAAGGUGUGUCAAUCACACAACUCAGCUUGGUGUCAUCUGCAGACUUGCUGAGGUGCACUCGAUAUUGACAUCUAUGUCAUUGAUAAAGAUACAAAAGAGCACUGGUCCCAAGACAGCCCUGAGGGACACCACUUAUCACUGAACACAUGGACAUAGAGAUUUGUCCACAACUCCAUCCAGCCAAUUCCUUAUCCACCAAAUAGUCCAACCUUCAAAUCCAUACCUCUCCAGUUUGGAGAUAAGAAUGUCAUAUGGAAAGGACAAUUUCUUACUAAGUAACAGAGAAUGUCCAUGACUUUGUUUUUGAAUGGUAUUUUCAGUUAAGGAAUUUAUCCAGUGACCAUACUUUGCCACAAUCACCUUUUUACAUAUACAUAUAGCUUUUAGGCCAUACUAUAAAAUAUAUUGUGACAUAUUGUUAUUGUGAUAGCUAACUCCCAUUAACAUGUCUGGUCCUUACUUUCUAAUUGAGUUGGAAAACUGAAAAGACUGAAUUUGUUGGUAUUCCGUUGAGACAACUUAGAGAGAUACCAGAAGGGAUGGGGAGAAGAUGAACUGGUGUUUGACUUUGAAACAAUCAUCUUCUAUUUGACGCAAAGAGUCAAAGACAGAGGUACAGUUUUUAUGGUUUUGAAUAAAUAUGUAACCUAUAUUUGUAUCAGUAAUGAAAAUUUAUUUCUGAGCCUUUUCCAUACAUCUGUCCUUAUUGUACUCCUUGCCUCUCAAUUGCCUCAAUACAGAGUAAUGUUUAAAAGUUGUACAGAAGCUUAAAACAAUAUUAUCGUUCUGUUAGUUUGUUGUAUCGUACAGGAAUACUUCUGCUCUCUGGAGGUUGCAUCAGAUUUCUUCCUUACAAACAACCUGUCACAAGAAAAAUGAACCAAUACAGUUAAUUUUUAGAUUAAAAUAUUUGGGAGUUGGCAAAAAAAAUAUUAUGGAUGGAGCUAUAUAAACUGAAAUUUAUUUAACUUGAUACAGAAUCACUCUUUCAAUUAGUCUUCCUAUUAACAAAUUCAUAAAAGAGACCAUGAGCUCAAUACCUCUGAGAUAGCUCAACAUCUCUGCGUUUCAUAAGCUUUUUCUUUUUCUCUCCAGAAUACAGUCUGGGCCAAAUGGCAAAACUGGAACUGCCACUACUUCUAGAUGUAUGAGUAAAAUUAAGAAGUCACUGGCCAAUAAUGUUAACCAAAAUGCUCACACUGUGCUUUUGUGACUGCUAACUCAAGCAAAAAAAAACAUUUUCCAUUUUUCUUCUUAGUCUAUAAAAUUGGAUUAAAUCCAGCCUCUAUUAAAAGCUGUCAGACAUACAGCACAAAUUCUCAAGUCUUGGUAAAGAGCCAAAAUAGAUGGCUCAUCACUUUCUCACUUGCAUUACUCAUGUGAGAGAAAAAUACCAUAGACAAAUGGAAAAGUAAGUUUAUCAGCAUCAGAAAAUCUGCAGAAAAUUAUGGUGAUACAGAAAUAAUUUCAAAAUAAAUGAUCCUCAUUGUGAAUUUUUUGUUAUUGUGCUUUUUAGGUAGUUUUGCUUAGUACUAGGCAUUUAAAACUAAAAUAAUUAUGAAUUUUCAUAGAAAAUAUACUUAAGCUUCGUGGGCAUUUACUUGCUUAAAAAAGGGGGACAAACAGUGUCUAGAGUAUCCAGCACAGAUCUGUGCAUUUAAUUGCAGAUAACCAUUUUUUGUAAAGGUGGAUCCCACACUGCUUAAGUACAUUCGUCUUUUGAUUAAGGGUUGUACGAACUCCUGACAAAUGUAAAUGUAAUUAAAGCUAGAAAGCCUCAAAUUGCUUAAAACUAUUGAACAUAGGUAUGGAGAACAACACUUGCAGAGAUUCCUCUGAUGGUAGAUCUGUUGACAAUUCCCUUUUUGUGACACCGGCAAUUUAUCUCCUUUGCAGUGCGCCCUGAGAACUCACUUUCAGCUCUGUCCCACGAAGCAGAUUCAGGAAACAAGAAAAAAGCUGAAGAACUGUUCAGUAAAUUAAGAACUUGUGUCUUUCACUAUAUAAGUAGACCCUCAGCUUACUAUAUGAUCCAAAGCACGUAUAUAAUCUUGUCAAGUGUCUCAGAAUAGAAGCCACAUUCCUCCAGCACACAUCUGGGCAUACAUGUUACUAAAAAUGUACUACCAAUAAAAACUUCCAGUGACAUUUAGAUAGGCUUGUACCAGUUUCUAGGCAAAACUAUGGAAAUUAUUAUGUGUGGUUUAUUUUGUAAAGAAAUAUAGAGUAUUAAAAUAAAUAAUGACAUUUGAUGUAAUUUCAUGAAAAACGAGUUUUCAGGCUGAUUGCAUUUCGUAAUGAAAUUACAAGUUUGGUUUACAAA